Molecule: long non-coding RNA, 2044 nt
Filed under: Oryctolagus cuniculus (rabbit)
Lineage: Eukaryota; Metazoa; Chordata; Mammalia; Lagomorpha; Leporidae
Description: lncRNA (ENSOCUG00000036804.1)
Source: RNAcentral
CGCGCAGGGUCCACUAUCCAAACACCGAAACCUCGCGCUGGUCCCCGCGCCCCCAUUGGCCGCGCUCGCGCGAGCCGGCGACGCCGGAGAGCCGGGAGCCAAUGGGCGCGCGGCUCGCGAGCCCGUCAGCGAGCACGGCUCGGACUCCGUUGCUCUUUUGAGAACCUGCACAGCGCUUUGCCCGCCGCCCCGAGCCACACACCUAGCGCUGGGGUCCCGGUGUCCACAAUCACGAGACGUCUCCAACCUGUCUCUUGUUGAAUGUCAGAGUAAUGGGAAGUGCCAGUGACAAGACGGCGUAUUACUCCUGAUUAAGUGCCGUGUCAACCUAAUUAGCAGAGUAAUUAUAAGGUGCUAAUGAAUGAUUCAAAGUUCUUUGAGUUACAUUUUACUCCAAAUUACCAUUUUAAGAACCCAAUGAAUCUGCGUGGCUGCCAUCUCUUCCGUGACUAGAUGCGGAAUGGUUUUUAGAAAAUGGCCUUUAAUGCCUCCCAGGGCUGGGCCCAAAGCUGGGGUUUCUUGCGAUCGUUUUCUGGGGACAGCUUUCUUUCAGAGGGGACGUGGGAGGGGUGUCCGUCCGGGAGGUCGCAGAGUAGGCGCUGUCUUUCGGUGGGAACCGCGUGGGCGCGCGCCCCGAGUCUGGAGGGGUACUUGGGACACCCGUCCUCCCUCGGUUUUCCUCUGGAAAUGAAGGUGCCCCCCCCCACCCCCAGAAAGAGUCCACGCCGCUUCGGGGGUGUGUUGAGCCGUUUCGUGAUUCUCUUCGCUCCGUGCUUCGCUGGGCUGUCUCGGAGGAGAACAGCGGGGAGAGGAGGGACGGAGGCGAGGAGAAGUACAAUCGGACAGCUCUCGCUUUUCUCGGAAGGCCUGGGCAGUUUGGCGGCGAGGCCCGGACUUGCAAACCCUGGACCGCUUGCGACCUCAGCAGUCCCGGAAAGAGAAGGUGACUCGUGGUUGCUGUUGGAGUGGAAGGAGAGCCUGGGGCUGAAUCUCUCUUCCCUCUCCCUAAGUGGGGGCCGUCGUCCACCGAAGGCCAGCUUCUGAGGAAAUUAAAGAGUCCCGAGUGACACAGCCACGUCACGGGGAGCCCAGGAGCCUCUAGGGCCUCGGGAAGGAAGCUGAUCCAUCCGCUCCCGAGAUUAGCAGGAAGUGGAGGGGCCGAGGCAGGAGAGGAGCGAAAGCCUCAGAGCGCUGAGCGAAGAUGCCAAUCAGAGAGAGGGAAAUUCAUUUGCGAUGUUAAUUAACAAGCGGCUAAUUAAAACGGCACUUUGUGAGCGCUAAUCAAUCGCCUUAUUAAGUUAGAGCCAUCACUGGAACAAAUUGAAAGCUCCCCGCCCCGUCUCCUGUCUGUGAUGCGGGCGGGGCUGGAGGCGGUCCCCGCAGGCUCUCUCAGCCCCUCCUGGCUCCGCAGAGUCCUCCUGCUUCUGGGUGCAAGCCUGCCCCUCGUCCCGAGACCCGCGGGGACGGACGAGCGUCCAGAAGGCAGGCUGUGAUCCAGAUGCACCCGCCAGGGAGCGCGGGGUUGCGUGGAAGGGCAACUCUUGCAGCAGCUGCGAACUCGGACUUUGCCUCGGGGACCGAGUUCCGAGUGCGCGGGAAUGCAAUCUGCGCGUCGCCACCGGGGGAAGGAGGCAACGCAGCCGAGAGGGGGCGCGCUCGGGCUGGGGUCCUGCAGCCCCAUUUCCCCGGACCUACCCGCCGGCGCAUUUCAGAGCUCCUCCUAGGCCCAGAAACCAGGGACGAACACGAAGGCCGGAACGGCCUGAAUCCUCGGCCCUGUCUCUGGGGCCCACGAGAAUGCGCCCGGGUAGGGGAGGGAGAGCGGGUGCUGGUCAACUGGGACCCCUGUGGCCCGUGCCACCCAGUCCCACUUCGGCACGCCGGGGCCCGCAAAUUCGCUAAGAGAAUUAAGAUUUUUGGAACCCUUAUUUUGAGGAGGCUUCCGCAUUUCCCGAUUGUUAAAUGCCCUCUUUUCACCAGAUUCCCGAGGGAGAAGCAUUUGGCAAUAAGAGGGGUCUGUGAAUUUAAAUGCUAAUGAAGUGCG